GACCGGAAACAGCGUAAUCUCAGCGCCCGCUGGCCGGCACCUCCCCGGGCGGCGCAGCAGCCUCCCCAGGCACCAGGGCACGGAGCUGCGCGGCGCACCGACCCUGGGCGCCCUGCCCCCGUGCACCGGCGGAUGGAGCCAGGGAAGGCAGGGGGCUGCCCGCCCGCGCCGGGCAGGGGACCCGAGUGAGCUCCCGGGCCCCGAGGGGAUGCCCCGGCCUCUGCAGAGCGCACCAGACUUGUGCUGACCCGCUGCGCCGGGAGCGCCCUGAAAUCCCCAGCAGGGUCUGGCCCAGCUACCCCGCGCGGCCCCUGCCUGAGUCCUGCCUGGGCCAGGCAGUCCCAGCGGCUGGGCAGCUCCGGUCAAAACACGAGCAUUUCCUUCGUCAACCCGACAGUCAGCUAAACCACAUUCGGGACAGGAGGAAGCGCCGCUUAACCGGUUGCAACGGAAUAUUAUCUGCUGCCAGGGGCACCAGCCCUGCAGAUUUCACAACUCCAAACUGGCAACAGGGUUGGGCCGCCCUGCCCUACACAUCUACUUUCCUGUCUCAGGAUUACUUUGGAGCUGGAAUUUUAUGCAUGACACCCUAGUCAAAUGCAGUUUAAGAAAAAGAAACUAACUGGCAAAAGGAAAGAUAGCAGCUGAAGAGAAAAUGGCUUCUUUCAUGGAGUGAUCCCUGCUGUCUCUCUUUAAUAGACAAACAAGAUAAUAACAAGACUUUCCCACUGCAGUGGGUUUUCAGGAGAAGGCAAUUUAAGUUCAGAAAAGUUGUUUAUUUUUAAAGAUGGUGCUCCCCUGUCUGUGUUCCUUAUAAUCCCAUAGGAAAUCAUUGCUGAAGCUGCCAGCCACAGCAGUUUAAGAAGAGUAAUUAAUAGCAGAGGAUUUUCAAAAAGGCAAAUUCUGCCUCUGGAAUCCACAGCCCGUGGGUUCCCAUUGUUGUGGUAAUUGACACAAGGGGGUGAGAUAAUCGCAUACAUUGUGAUCCCUGCCUGCUUUGCUGCCAUCUGCCAUUGACUUCAGUUGGAGUGGGAUCAGACCCAAAUAUGUGCAUUGUUAUUAUUAUGGCAGUAGUGUUCUUGGCAGCGAUACAACACACAGAUAAAGGCAGGGGCCCUUCCCCACCAAGCUUACACUCUAAAAGAAAAGCCAGGCAAGCAUUCACUGGGAGACUCCAAAGAUGGUUAGAGCCAAUAAUGAUUUUUUAAAUAAAUUGGGGUGAUAGAUAAUGAUGGUGUAAUAUGUACCUUUGGAUCCUUGGGCCCCUCCAUGUUUAUGAUUGUGAAAUCUAUAGCUCAAAAAAAAAAAAAAAGGUGGAAUCAUCCAGAAUGGGUGGAAUUAAUAAAUGUUUGAAUUCCUUGUAUUCUACCAUCUUUCCCAUGCAGAGCUGAAUUCAGUGUUAUGCAUGUACAUUUUUCCCAGAAGUUACCACUGACUGUUGAUAGUGCAUGAGUCCAUUCAGAUCUUCAGCCCGUAGGAAGCCAUCGAUUUUAUUUAAAUACAUACUCCCACUACCAAGGAUGCUUAGAUCAUGUCCUCUGGGUAAUUCUUUAACUUCAAACAAUGUAUUGUGUUAUCAGGCACAUUUAUCACAUUUAGAGUCUCAGAAACACUUUUCAUUGUUAGAACCUUUGCUAAACAUAUUUCUCUUUGGCUUUCUGUUUUUUUCCCCCCAAUUCAGAUUAUCCUGAGUAGUUUCUAGGUCCAGAGAAACCUGCAGUAAAGCCCCAGUUCAGCAAGAUACUUAAGCACCUGCAUAGUUUUAAGCAGGACUACUCUCAUUAAAAGCAAGUUAAACAGGUGCUUUAAUACCUUGCUGAAUUAGAGCCUAAGACUCACUUCCAAGAGGCAACCCACUGACGUUUUUUUUCCAUUUCUAAUUGUUCAUGGUGAAUUAAGGCUGGAAUUACACCAUCUUUAGCCAUACUUAAGGCCAAGACAGUUGAUUUGUUCUGUCUUUGUUCAGCACCUAACACAACUGGUUCCUCGUCUGUGAGUGGGGUCCUCGUUGCUACUACAAGUAACAAAAAAUAAUUCUAAUAACAUGUUCAAUGGCACCAUUGGUUAGGCACCUUAUUCCCUUGGGUGUCUUUGACAACCCCAGCCUUUGUGCUACCAGAUGCCAAUCCUGGAGACUGAAGCCCUCUUUUUACUCAGAGAACAGAUACCAUGUGGGCAGUGGUGAUGAAAGCAGCCCUUCUCAAAUGCCCUGCAGGACCAUGGCUAAAGGUGAUGGGGCGGUUCAUGCUCCAUGCCCAUUCUAAUCUUUAGCCUCUCUGCAUUGAGACUGCCAAUAAAGGUGCCAGUGAAUGCCAGCUAUGUUGGUGAUUCAUGCAGUGCGGACAUCUGUCCUCUAAGCACUCCUCUAAGACUUGCCAGCUUGUCUCACAUAGGUCAAGAAGCAGCAAUAACACUCAGUUGCUACUAACUUGGGCUGGAUUUGAUCUGGUGACCUAGCCCAGUGGCUCUCGAUUUUUUUCCAUAGCAGAACCACCCUGGGACUCCCCCUCCCAUCUAGGUGGUGGUCAUCCCUGCAAGCUAGUAAUAUAGGCAAGGCAGGGUGGUCUUGACCCUCUGACACUUGUUUGUGACCUCCCUGAGGGUCCUGUUUCCUACGCUGAGAACCUCUGACCAUUGUCAGUCCUCUGAGCAAUGCAGUUUCCCCCCGUCCUCCACCUUAGGCAACCACUUUAAAGAAUCUCUAAAGUUUGUAAUACAUCUGAGUCCAACAUUUAGUCCAAGACCACUUCUCCUAGACCAAUGAUUUUUGCUGUGUGCUUGCUCAAGGUGGGUUUCAUUAUAUCCUAGGGUUAAGAUCUUAGUCUAAGAAUAACUGGCAUGAUUUGCGGAUGCUUUUAGCAGGCACCAAAAUAGUAUUUAAAAAAAAUAAUUGCAAACCAAACAGCAGACACAGGAUGAUUGGCUAAAAGAGCAACACAGCUGCUUAGUGGAAGGAAAAGUACAAUAAUAAAAGCCUGGAAAACACAGUUAUGGUAUCUACUACCUGUUCAAUUCCCAAAACGCUCAAUACAAUCUCUGCAACUACAGGGAUAUAUGGGUGAAAUUCCUGUGGCGAGGGAAGGAAAGUCAUAACGAUAUACUCAGCAAACCACAGAGAAAUAUAGGAAGGAGGGGAAAUACUUUCCUUGGCAAGGAAGCUGCCAACUGUUUGGAGUCAAUGGUAGUUAGGUGCCUAAAUAUCUUUGAGGAUCUGGGCUGUAGAUUUCUCCUGCAAGAGAAAUGGGAAGGGCUGCCCCUCUCCUAGCUGUGCCUAACCAGAGAAGUGGCUUGAGUGGACUAAAAUUCAGGUGUCUAAUUCCUUCACUCUCUAGUGCUGCAGGUUCAAACUCUGAGUAGGAGCAGCUCAGAUCUUCAACCAUUUCUUCUGAAGGAGAUGAAUUCACCUGUGGGGUCCUUUAGCUGAGACUUUAAAAAGUGACCUCUUUGCUCUUUAGGGGCAUCAAAGACUCAAGUAGAGGAUUGCCCACAUGUCCUUUUAUCAAUAUUCCUCUCCCAACUCUCCUUAUUGUUUUAUAGAUGGCUGCUCUCCACUCCAGAGAUGGUUGCAUUUCCAUGGGACCAUUCUAGUUUGAGAAGUGCUUUAGAGUAAAAAAAAAAAAAAAAGUGCUGGAUAAGUGUGAAUUCAUUAUUUGUGGCUGCCAGGCCAUAUUUUAUAUUGAAAAUGGGUUAGAUGUGGCAUUAAGCCUUGACAGCGAGACAAUCCCAACUCAGACAUUAAUGAGAUGGAACCUAUAAGGGAUAAUAUUUUUCCUUUGUUUACUGGAUAAUUUGUCCUCCUUUCCCUAACUAUUCUGACACGCUCCAUAAUUCACUGUUUCCAAGUCUAUCAUAGCUUUAUGUGCCUUUGAUGCAAAGGGGCUGGGCAGAGAAAGUCCACUGCAUAUAUACCUUGGGCCAUCCGUCUCUUUUAGAACCUGUUUGUGUGCCACCUUCUUGCUUUCUCAAUACAGGCAAUCCCUUCUGGUCUGCCCUGAACUAAGCAAGGUGGAAUCUCCUCCUUUGUAACCUUUCUCCUCAAAUAAACAUGUUUCCUCUGAUAUCUGA
Long non-coding RNA from Caretta caretta (loggerhead turtle), 4065 nucleotides. RefSeq lists it as uncharacterized. The record is from RefSeq and is a predicted model, not a curated record. Lineage: Eukaryota; Metazoa; Chordata; Testudines; Cheloniidae.